Long non-coding RNA from Humulus lupulus (European hop), 502 nucleotides. RefSeq lists it as uncharacterized. The transcript has 2 exons. Lineage: Eukaryota; Viridiplantae; Streptophyta; Magnoliopsida; Rosales; Cannabaceae. The record is from RefSeq and is a predicted model, not a curated record.
UUGUGUUUAUGCUUGUCUAUUCUCUUCUUUUUAUUCUAAUAAUAUUGACUAUGGUUUUUAUUGUGUGUUGUUGAAUCUCUUCUUCUUCUCAUGGCGGAUUUCGAAAAAAAAAAACUAGGCUUGAACAAGGGGUGGUAAAGUUUGGGUGUUGAUCAAUUUGUGUUCUUGAUUUUACAAUCAAGAGAAGGGUUGCUAAGGAUAUGUAGACGUAACCCGAGUUACUAAGGAUAUGAAGACGUAGCUCAAAGGGCAGACGCGCCAAGUUUAUUCAAGGACCAGAGAUCAUGUUGACCUCAAAGGGUGACAUGGAUAAGUUAACGGGCCAUGUUCACAAGGAUAUGAUGUUUAUGUGAUGAUGUUAUGAUGAUGAUGAUUUUUCAUAUGAUGCCAAUGUUGUUAUGAUUAUGUUUAUGUUUAUGAUGUUGAUGCUAUUACGAUAAUGAUGAUAUGAUGUGUGACGAUGUAUGAUGCGAUUAUGAUUUGUUUGAUUUACUUGUGUGCA